Molecule: long non-coding RNA, 1719 nt
Organism: Brassica napus (rape)
Lineage: Eukaryota; Viridiplantae; Streptophyta; Magnoliopsida; Brassicales; Brassicaceae
Exons: 2
Source: RefSeq, a predicted model, not a curated record
UGCCCUUAAUGAAACAUGCAAUGUUAGUGAAGGAAACAUGCCCCUAAGGUAAUUAUGACAAUAGGAUCCUGCUUUAAUAGUAUAGAUACUAAACUUUAAUCCUAAACCUAAUAUUCCAACAUCCAAACCUUAAAUCACAAAACUAAACUUUACACUUAUUCAUAAUUAUUUUUAUAAACCAUAGAAUCGAUAUUUAAAACUUUCCAAGUCUAUCUUAUAGGCAAUGGCUACAAACCUUAUAGCAUACUCCAAACCCUAAACUCCAAAACUUAACCUCAAACCACAUACAACAUUUCAAACCCCAUACACUACAAACCUUAAACCAUAAAUUUUAAAUAGAAUAUAUUUCCUCUACAAACCUUAUAUCAUACUUCAAACCCUAAACCUCAAAACUUAUCCUCAAACCACAUACAAUACUUCAAACCCUAUAUACUACAAACUUUAAACCAUAAAUUUAAAAUAAAAUAUAUUUCCUCUACAAACGUUAUAUCAUAUUUCAAAUCCUAAACCCCAAAACUUAACCUCAAACCACAUAUACUAGAAACCUUAAACCAUAAAUUUAAAAUAAAAUAUAUUUCCUCUAACAUAUAUAUACCCCAGACUAUAUACAUACUCCAAAUUCUAAAUUACACAAACCAAUCAAUAGUUUUAUUUAAUUUAAAAUUACUUAUAAAAAGUGAAAUCUAAUCAUUUUGUUGAUUUUAUAUCAUUACUUUUAUAAUGAAAAUGAAUAACUUAAUUUUUAUAUAAACAAAAAUACUCAAAAAUAUAAUUAAAAUUACUAAAAUAACUAUUAAAUAAAAUAACAGUUUUUAUAUUUAUUGAUUAAUUUUGAUCAUAGAUUGACUUUAAUCAAAUGGUCACAAAUGAACCUUGUGGUUAUCCUCACGCUUCUUUCCUAUUGGUCAAUUCUGUUAAGACAAGGAUUGCACUUCUCUCUUUCUUCUCUCACGACGUUUCAUCUCCUCUCUCUCUUUCCUCUCUCACGACAAGGACUAGAUCUGAAGUUGAUUGGAGUUUGAGUCCAAAAGUUGAGAGAAGAAGAAUCAUGGAGAGGACGACCAAGUCUCUGAAACUUGCUUCUGUACGCCUCCUCUCAACUCGUCGACACCACCACCACCGAGGCGCUCGUUACCACCACUGAGGCGCUCAUUACCACCACCACUCCCUUCGAUUCCGACGCACACUUCACCACCACUAAGGUCACCUCUAUCUUCUCUCUCUGUAUUUAGUCUGAUGAGUGAAGCACGAGAUCUGAUCCGUCAAAUGUCAGAAGCUUCUCAAAUGUCACUCUUCACCACCACUAAGCUAAAGAAGAUGGAGGAUGCUGAAGAAGCUUGAUGGUGGUGGUCUCAAGGUCGACAAUGGUGGCUGAGCGUGAUGGUUAGAUGACUUGGUGAUAUCGUGCUGUUGACGAUGGCAGAGAGAGAGAGAGUGACGACGGUGGCGAGGACAGCAGAUGGUGGCGAGGGUGGCGGAGGACAGCAUACGGUGGCUGAAGCUUUGUGAAGGUGGUGAUGGCGGCUGAAGCGUCUAGGUUUAGAUUAAGGUUUAGGUUUAGUUAAUCAAUUGGUUUAGUUAGGUUUACAUUAAUUAACUGAUUAGUUAAGAGUAGAGUAGUAAUAUAUUUAUGUAUUAUUGGUUUAGUUUUGUAAACCAAAAUUUAUUGUAAACUAAAUUUAAUUUAUAAAUAAAAUUUAUUUUAUUUUUAAUUAUAAA